Molecule: ribosomal RNA, 477 nt
Filed under: Candidatus Scalindua brodae
Lineage: Bacteria; Pseudomonadati; Planctomycetota; Candidatus Brocadiia; Candidatus Brocadiales; Candidatus Scalinduaceae
Description: bacterial SSU rRNA
Rfam family: Bacterial small subunit ribosomal RNA
Source: RNAcentral
UUCGCAAUGCCCGAAAGGGUGACGAAGCGACGCCGCGUGGGUGAGGAAGGCCUUCGGGUUGUAAAGCCCUGUCAGGAGUUAAGAAAUAUAAGUGCGCUAAUAUCGCAUUUAUUUGACGAAGGCUCCAAAGGAAGCCACGGCUAACUCUGUGCCAGCAGCCGCGGUAAUACAGAGGUGGCAGGCGUUGUUCGGAAUUAUUGGGCGUAAAGAGCACGUAGGUGGGUUUGUAAGUCAGAUGUGAAAGCCUUCUGUUCAACGGAAGAAUUGCAUCUGAAACUACAAGUCUUGAGUGUAGGAGGGGAGAAUGGAACUUCUGGUGGAGCGGUGAAGUGCGUAGAUAUCAGAAGGAACGCCGGCGGCGAAAGCGAUUCUCUGGCCUAUUGCUGACACUCAGUGUGCGAAAGCUAGGGGAGCAAACGGGAUUAGAUACCCCGGUAGUCCUAGCUGUAAACGAUGGGCACUAAGUAGAGGGGUUUU